GAUGAACGCUGGCGGCGUGCCUAAUACAUGCAAGUCGAGCGAACAGACGAGGAGCUUGCUCCUCUGACGUUAGCGGCGGACGGGUGAGUAACACGUGGAUAACCUACCUAUAAGACUGGGAUAACUUCGGGAAACCGGAGCUAAUACCGGAUAAUAUAUUGAACCGCAUGGUUCAAUAGUGAAAGACGGUUUUGCUGUCACUUAUAGAUGGAUCCGCGCCGCAUUAGCUAGUUGGUAAGGUAACGGCUUACCAAGGCGACGAUGCGUAGCCGACCUGAGAGGGUGAUCGGCCACACUGGAACUGAGACACGGUCCGGACUCCUACGGGAGGCAGCAGUAGGGAAUCUUCCGCAAUGGGCGAAAGCCUGACGGAGCAACGCCGCGUGAGUGAUGAAGGUCUUCGGAUCGUAAAACUCUGUUAUUAGGGAAGAACAAAUGUGUAAGUAACUAUGCACGUCUUGACGGUACCUUAUCAGAAAGCCACGGCUAACUACGUG
RNAcentral lists this ribosomal RNA (497 nucleotides) under uncultured bacterium. RNAcentral's name for it is "partial 16S ribosomal RNA". It matches the Rfam family "Bacterial small subunit ribosomal RNA", at positions 28 to 507 of the family's 1533-position model. The record is from RNAcentral.